This 427-nucleotide ribosomal RNA is filed under the name Paradoxurus hermaphroditus (Asian palm civet). RNAcentral's name for it is "partial 16S ribosomal RNA". It matches the Rfam family "Bacterial large subunit ribosomal RNA", at positions 1985 to 2585 of the family's 2925-position model. The record is from RNAcentral. Lineage: Eukaryota; Metazoa; Chordata; Mammalia; Carnivora; Viverridae.
GACUCGUAUGAAUGGCCACACGAGGGUUUUACUGUCUCUUACUUCCAAUCCGUGAAAUUGACCUUCCCGUGAAGAGGCGGGAAUAUAAUAAUAAGACGAGAAGACCCUAUGGAGCUUCAAUUAACUGAUCCAAAGAGAUUAAUAUAUACCGACAGGAACAAUAUCUCUCUAUUAAUGGAUCAACAAUUUAGGUUGGGGUGACCUCGGAGUACAAAACAACCUCCGAAUGAUUUCUAAUCAAGACUAACCAGUCAAAAGUAUUACAUCAUCAAUUGAUCCAAAACUAUUUGAUCAACGGAACAAGUUACCCUAGGGAUAACAGCGCAAUCCUAUUUUAGAGUCCAUAUCGACAAUAGGGUUUACGACCUCGAUGUUGGAUCAGGACAUCCCGAUGGUGCAGCAGCUAUCAAAGGUUCGUUUGUUCAAC